UAUGCCGCGCCGAUUUCAAUC
This 21-nucleotide microRNA is filed under the name Caenorhabditis brenneri. RNAcentral describes it as "cbn-miR-7619". The record is from miRBase by way of RNAcentral. Lineage: Eukaryota; Metazoa; Nematoda; Chromadorea; Rhabditida; Rhabditidae.